ACAUAUCUGGUCAUCUGGACCAUCUUGGUGGUUAUGUGACGCCCAUGCAUGCGCAGUUGGGCGACGUCUACGGCCAGGUGAACACCAUUGGCGGAGAGGUCACGCGUCUGCGUGAACAGGUGUCGUCAUUUGAUGCUCGGUUUGGCGAAUACAACCAGGGCCUCACUGACGCCAACCACGGACUAACCGACACCAACUACUACCUCGCCGACCUAGAGAGACAGUGGGCCGCCUUCUCGUUGCAGAACCAGGACCAGUUCUGGCACCCUCCCCCGGGUCCCCCUAGGGGCCCCAACUGAGCAUUCCUUUUACCCACCUUUGUACAUUUUGUUUUAUUUCCUUUUACUUUGUUUUCUUUUCUUUCUUGUUUUAUGCUGUCUUCUUUUGUGGGUUUUUCUGGUUGCUCGUUUUACAGGUUGUGGUCGCCGCCCUCUCUACCGCCGUCGCCGUGUUGGCUGCACUCCUAUCCAGGGAUGUUCUUAAACUUUCUCUUUUUGUGCCCUGAGGACAGUGCAUGUUUUUCUCUGUGGGGGAGGGGCGUGAUUUAUGAGUUUUGGGGGUUUUAUGGUUCUGCCUUGGUUGCGUUGUUGGUUGUGCCGCAUGCAGUUUUUAUGAUGCCUUAUCUUUGCGUUGCAUGCUUGGGUGUGGUGCCCUGUUUUACUUGUCUUGGGGCAAAUGGUCCCCUUCUCUUGUUUUCUUGCCUGUCUUAAGUACAUCACAUGAUUGAUAGUGAUUCGCUGGCGAUUCGGGAUUGUGUUUGUUUGGUUUGCUGUCCUUGUUUUUCUUGAUUGAUGUGUUCUCAUUGAAGUGUAAGUAGCCUAAGGUUUUGGUGCAACACCCUGUUGAGCAACUCUUGACGUGAUUUGUCCGGUAGAUGCUAAGGGGAGUAUUUUCAGUGCAAUUACCUAAUGUCUGUCUCUGUUUUGAAUUGUUUGGUUGGUUGUUGAGUUUCUGAUAGCCUGGGUCUCUGCUCCUCUAAUGAUUUCAUUAUGAGCAUGGGUAACCACACGAGAACAUUUUGGGUCACCCCCAAAAGUUCAAUCUCGUGAAUUAUGGCCCAUCUAUCAAGAGCAAAAAUAACUUAACCCAAAAAAAAAAAAGAGAAGAGAAAAGUGAAAGAAUAUGAAAAAGGAAUGAGACAUGAUUGUAAAGGAAAUUGCAUUAGGAAAUUCACCCUUAGCGGAGAAUUGGGUCUGAUCGGAUUGAGUUGUAUCACCUUGUUGUUGCACUUUUAAAUC
This 1238-nucleotide long non-coding RNA is filed under the name Salvia miltiorrhiza (redroot sage). RNAcentral describes it as "long non-coding RNA (SMIL_LNC009900)". Lineage: Eukaryota; Viridiplantae; Streptophyta; Magnoliopsida; Lamiales; Lamiaceae. The record is from RNAcentral.